This 505-nucleotide long non-coding RNA is filed under the name Oryza brachyantha (malo sina). Its description in RNAcentral is "long non-coding RNA (OBRA_LNC000809)". The record is from RNAcentral. Lineage: Eukaryota; Viridiplantae; Streptophyta; Magnoliopsida; Poales; Poaceae.
CCAUGCUAAGUGAUAAAUACAGAUGAUUACACUAUUCCUAAUAACACUAUUCCUAAUAGGUUAUAACCCGAUAACUUUUUAAAUAUAUAGGGGGCACCUUAAUAUAACUAUAUUGACAAUAAUAUGGCGUAACACAUGGGAGAAGGAUGUCGAUGAGGCAAUGAAUCCGUAAUGUGGCUAAGAGCCAUGUCGAUUAUGGAGAAGCGCCCAUGGGUCAGAGCCAUGAGGAUUAGUCUUCGGCAUAAACUUGUAAACAAAUAUCGUGUGUCUCUAUAUCAUCAUUAAUUUGGUGUAUCUGAGUUUUUUUAAAAAAAUUUUUAGAGAAGGAUAUUUUUACUUUUUUUAUUUCAGAAACGCUAGGAAAUUAGCCCAAGUAGAGGACCUAGCCCCUCAAAUACCAAAUAUGAAAUUCAUGCUCCUACGGAGAUUUGAACCCAGGACCUUGGGUGUUACUCAGGUCUCACUGUAACCACUAGGCUACAUGCCCUUUCACGAUAUAUCUGAG